UGCGGUUUAAUUGGAUUCAACNCCGGGAAAACUCACCAGUGCCGACNGACAGAUGAAAGCCAGUGUGAUGAGCUUGCUNGAUUGUUCGAGAGGUAGUGCAUGNCCGCCGUCAGUUCGUACCGUAAGGCGUUCUGUUAAGUCAGAUAACGAACGAGACCCUCAUCCCUAUUUGCUAAGGUUUCUCCCUUCGGGGCGAGAUCACAGGACUAUAGGGAGACCGCUGGCGAGAAGUCAGAGGAAGGUGAGGGCAACGGUAGGUCAGUAUGCUCCGAAUGCACUGGGCUACACGCGCAAUACAAAGGACGGGACAAUGGGCCGCUGCUCCGAGAGGAAAGAUGGCUAUCCCGAAACCCGUUCGUAGUUCGGAUUGAGGGCUGUAACUCGCCCUCAUGAAGCUGGAUUAGGUAGUAAUCGCGUCUCAAAAAGGCGCGGUGAAUAUGCCCCUGCUCCUUGCACACACCGCCCGUCAAACCAUCUUAGUUGGGGGUGGGUGAGGCUGCCUUUUAGUGGGGUAUUCGAGCCUGCCUUCGACAAGGAGGGUUAAGUCGUAACAAGGUA
RNAcentral lists this ribosomal RNA (558 nucleotides) under uncultured archaeon. Its description in RNAcentral is "bacterial SSU rRNA". It matches the Rfam family "Archaeal small subunit ribosomal RNA", at positions 896 to 1445 of the family's 1478-position model. The record is from RNAcentral.